This 497-nucleotide ribosomal RNA is filed under the name uncultured bacterium. Its description in RNAcentral is "partial 16S ribosomal RNA". It matches the Rfam family "Bacterial small subunit ribosomal RNA", at positions 28 to 507 of the family's 1533-position model. The record is from RNAcentral.
GAUGAACGCUGGCGGCGUGCCUAAUACAUGCAAGUCGAGCGAACGGAUGAGAAGCUUGCUUCUCUGAUGUUAGCGGCGGACGGGUGAGUAACACGUGGAUAACCUACCUAUAAGACUGGGAUAACUUCGGGAAACCGGAGCUAAUACCGGAUAAUAUUUUGAACCGCAUGGUUCAAAAGUGAAAGACGGUCUUGCUGUCACUUAUAGAUGGAUCCGCGCUGCAUUAGCUGGUUGGUAAGGUAACGGCUUACCAAGGCAACGAUGCAUAGCCGACCUGAGAGGGUGAUCGGCCACACUGGAACUGAGACACGGUCCAGACUCCUACGGGAGGCAGCAGUAGGGAAUCUUCCGCAAUGGGCGAAAGCCUGACGGAGCAACGCCGCGUGAGUGAUGAAGGUCUUCGGAUCGUAAAACUCUGUUAUUAGGGAAGAACAUAUGUGUAAGUAACUGUGCACAUCUUGACGGUACCUAAUCAGAAAGCCACGGCUAACUACGUG